Long non-coding RNA from Bos grunniens (domestic yak), 3479 nucleotides. The record is from Ensembl. Lineage: Eukaryota; Metazoa; Chordata; Mammalia; Artiodactyla; Bovidae.
CUGUGAAUUAAGCAUGGUGAUCCUGCUGCUAACUUGCAGCAUCCCACAACUGUAACCACUUGUCUUAGAUGGCCCAACAACCCUCAAUGCCAUGCUGUCAGGACAGUGCUAGAAUCAAAGUUCUGCCACAUUUUAUUACUACUGUAUCCUGGUCCAAUCAUGCCAGGGCGAAUCAUGUGUUUCUUUAAUUAUUCAUUAGAAGCUCCCCAGUUCAAUGGUCAAAGGCUCUAUAAUGAUAAGUUGCCCUAUGGACUGAAUAGAUUGUGCUAUAUUCUGCUCCAGAGUGAAAUGAGGCAAGGGAGGCUCACCAUUAAAUUACUGACUCCAUCCUUGUGAGGGCUCUCUAGUAAUACUGACCCAGCUAGUCUGACACGUGGGCUGCUGGGCUACUCGCACUGUUUGCAUGACAUGCCAUGUUACAGAUUAGAGAAGGAAAACCAUUAUGAUCAUCUUCAUAUUUACCUCCCCCAAACAAGUGAGAAAUUUAACAUCCAUUCACGAUUUUUACAGCAAAAAAUAAAGUUCAAUCCCAACCCAGCAUCAUUUACUAAAACAAAUUCUGAGGUGACUAAAUAGUGAGGUAAAAAGUAUCAAACAUAGACAGAAUUGAAAUAUGAAUGCAUUUGUAUGCAGAACACAAAAAAGUCAUAAAAGAAAAGACUUUUGAAAAUGUAGAGAUUAAAUGUUUUCCCAGAAGGAAAAAGUACCGAAUUUUUAGACUAGGAAUUAUAAAAUUAUAUAGUACACCCAUAAAUGGCUCACUGCUUAUUAUUAUUUAUACUAAUUUUGAAAUCCAGUUUUAAAAUUAAGCACUGAGUCACAUUUUUAUAAGGUAUGCAAAAUGUUCUUUCCUCAUUAGAAAAAGUCUGAACUGGAGACUUUUUGUCCUUGAACUUUUAGAAAAGCAGCAGUGAGAUACUUUUGUUUGAGAGCAAAUGAGAGACUUUUAAUGAAGAUUUUAGAAUUGAAGAGCUAGACUUUCAGCAUCCAUCUGAAUGUUUAGAAAUCCUGACUAAAAUUGAUUCCCCAAACCAGACCACUUGGUAUUAAUGCAUAUCUCUUUUCUUUUAGUAGAAUUUUUCUUUAAUAUAAAAUGAAAAUAAAAUCUUAAUAGGUUAAAACAAGCCAAAUGCCCACCCUACACACAUAAAUACCUUAGAGUCACCUAAAUCCAGAGUUAAACCUAAAUUGUGCAAGUUUUCAGUGAAAUCAUAAGUCAUACAAUCCAAACAAAAGGCAACUGCAGACAUACAUGGUGAGCCCUCCACGGAACGCACCCCAAGCAGCAUUAGCCUGUGUUCCAUGCCACCGUGGAGACCUGUGCAUCUUAUUUGCUCACAUAGUGCAACAUUUCAAUAGAAUACAUUAACUGCUAGGUGAUGAUGCUUUGAUACUGUUCAUAUAGCAUUCCUUAUCUUAAAUGAUGUGAGUUUUCCAGAAGAGGAGCUUUGGUUUUGCUUUAGAAAUCUCAUCUAAAUUAAACACCUUAUUAAAUAUUAACACAGAGGGAGGUGACACAGGACACAAUACAGACAGUCAAGUCACCUCUCUGCAUAUAUAGGAAUAACUUUCUCCUUCGAGGUAUUUACACUGGAAAGCUUAGUGUGGCCUGAUUAAUAUUUCAGUGGUAAAAUUUUUAGUGAUCAGAACCUUGGCAAAACUAGAAUUCAAAAAUUGUUAACAAAUAUUUCUAGUGAUAAGACUAUGGAAUUAUUACAAAUUUAUUACUAUGAGGGAAAGCAAUCAUCUUUAAAAAAAAUGCCUCAGUCACUGCUACUCAAUAUAGAAGGAUAAAACUCCAUAAUUAGCCAUAAUCUCUGUCCUCUGAAAUUUCCCUAGUAUCAUUCAUUAGAAGGGGAUUUACAGUUGUGAGAGCACUUUAUAGCUACAUUCAGCUUUCCUAUGAAAUACUCAGUUAUCUUAAACACUAUGUAUACUUUUUUCUCUUAGUAAACUUGAUACCAGCUUCAGAGUUUGUGGAAAUGGAAAAAAAGAAUCAUCAUCUAUUAUCAUUCUAUAAAUGAUUUUUUGGUAGAAUAUCAAGUAUACAAAUCAAAAACAGGAUAGGCACUACUAGGGCCUAAACUGUUCCCCCCACCCCCAAUUUAUAUGUCGAAGUCCUAAACUUCAGUUUGGAGAAGACAAUGGCACCCCACUCCAGUACUCUUGCCUGGAAAAUCCCAUGGACGGAGGAGCCUGUUGGGCUGCGGUCCAUGGGGUUGCUAAGAGUCGGGCAUGACUGAGCGACUUUACUUUCACUUUUCACUUUCAUGCAUUGGAGAAGGAAAUGGCAACCUACUCCAGUGUUGUUGCCUGGAGAUUCCCAGGGACGGGGGAGCCUGGUCAGCUGCUGUCUAUGGGGUCGCACAGAGUUGGACACGACUGAAGUGACUUAGCAGCAGCAGCAAACUUCAGUUAUCUCAGAAUAAAAGAGACAAGGUCCUUAAAGAGGUAAUUAAAUUAAAAAGAAGUCAUCCGGGUGAGUCUUAAUCCAGCCUGACUGGUGCCCCUAUCAGAAGAGGCGAUCUGGACACAGACAAGCACAGAGCACAGGAGAAGACAGAGGUCUAGGAGCCAAGGAGUAGAACCUUCCCCCAGGAUCUCAGGAGCCAGCCCUGCCACACCUUGAUUGCAGACCUCUGGCCUUCAGAACCCUGAGAAAAUACAUUUCUGUUGUUUAAGGCAUUAUCUUUAGUACUUUAUCAUGACAGACCCAGAAAACAUAUACAGCCACUCCUGUCUUUCCAAAACUGAAGUAGUUUUUUGUUCCCUUUUUCUGUAAGCCUCAGUCAUCAUUCCUCAGUGGAAAAGGGUGGUGGCCUGGCCCUGCUCCUCCAGCUUCUCAGAAACUGCUUUCUCACUGUUGCAGAGCGGCUUAAACAGAUGUGUGUUAAGGAGGACUUUCCCAAAUGCCUAUAAAGAUAAACCCACAACAUAUUUCCUGCCUUUCCCAACAUGUGAGCCUAAAAAUUAAAGACAGUUGUCUUAUUAAAACCAGAAGCCAUCUUUGCACAAGGGCCAUCAUCUGAGUGGUAACUGGAACAAAAGCCUGGGCUGGAGCAGUACCUGAGAGGGAACUGCAGGCACCAGAACUGUGACACUGGAAUUCUUCUUGCAGUUUAGUCAUCUCAUGGCUUCUUCAUCCCUUUCUAGACAGAGCUUACACUGUCUUUGGCUUCAACACAGAGCUCAGACCAGCCUGCCCUGAUAUCUAUCACCUGACUCUAGAUUUUGGUUUUUCAUCCCACUGGCAGCUUUUCCUGUCUUUUCACAAGCAGCACUCCACCACUGCAAACCUGCUCUGAAGGAGUCUCCUGGAACUUAGACAGCUCUAGAAGUCCUUUCAGCAUUUACUUCCACUCAAGUGAGAACCAGAGAACUGAGCUCUGCAAAUAUAGCAGCCUUCUACAGUGCAGUACACCCUUGGCUUGUGAAACUCAACAUCUUUACUUCUAGAAAUAGUCUUCCAAAAGCUGCCA